UCAAAUCACCGAAGUUAAGCAUCGUAGAGCCAGGUCAAUACUUAGAUGGGGGACCGCUUGGGAACACCUGGUACUGUAAGC
Molecule: non-coding RNA, 81 nt
Organism: Acanthosepion pharaonis
Lineage: Eukaryota; Metazoa; Mollusca; Cephalopoda; Sepiida; Sepiidae
Source: the annotation of a GenBank genome assembly